UUCCAUUUCCAGAGUGGCUCAUGAUAACACUCAUGGUUCAUGUGCUGCUCUGACUUCGUUCACACCCUCACUGCCCACCGCCCAGUGGUGACCAUGGAGAGGAUUUGUUGAGAGUUUCAGUUUCUCAGGCUGGAAAAUGAAUGUCCAGCCAAUCUCUGCUCUGAACCUCAGAGAAGUGCUUCAUGUGCCUCAGGUCCCUUGUGCCCCCUUGAUCUAAAUGGAAAACAUCGGGAUACCUUGCUUCCUGCCUGUUAGCCCUGAACUCUUGUUCUCUACACAUCUAGAGGCCAGGAGCUGGAUCCGUUGAAGUUCUGUGGGCAUGCUUCUUGUGACUUAAUGAAAGUCUCCAGGAAGAAGGAGCUGGCUGCAUUUUCACUUAUAAAUUAUAUGACAGCUGGAACACGGCAGCUCCAGAUAGGGAAACUGCCUGAAUUUUGACACUGGUUGUGUCCAUGUUGAAGAUAACAGGCAAAAAACUAUUGAUGCAACUGGAGUUGAAAUUAUACCCAUCCUGAUGCUGGAGGUUAUUGCAUUUCUCAACAUCUGAAUGAUUUGUAAUUAUAAUUUAAAAAGGACCCCAGAAAAGAUUUUUGCCGUUAUGCUUUCUUACAGACACAGUCGAGGGAAGAGUAACUCUCUAAGAGGUGUCUUAAAUACUAGCUGGUGAAACACAGUCAAAAGCAUGUGGGGCUGGGCUGGGGAUUUAGCUCAGUGGUUCCACUGCCUGUCUCGCAAGCUCAAGGACUUGAGUUCGAUUCCCAGUACCAAAAAAGAAAAAAAAAAAAAAAAAGCAUGUGGGGAAGGGCCUUUUAUGAUAGUUAGGAGAAGCUCAGUAAGUCAGUCAAGGCUGUUUUAUUAUGCAGAUAUAAGCUGAUAACUUCUCCAUUGACUGAGUUUCUAGUGAUUUAGUUAUCCUUCUCUUCCUAGCACAGAGAUAGACACCACUCCAAACAGAAUUUCCUGUGUAGAUGGAAAUUUCUCUUACAAAUGGGUGCUUUCCCUUUUUUCAGAACAACUUCUGUGUUCACUGUUUCCUAAAAUAAUCAGCUCAAAAUAAUCCUUUUUCUCAAGAGACAUACUUGAGGGCCAGAGAUUUAGCUCAGUGGUGCUGCCGCCUGCCUCGAAAGCACAAGGUCCUGAGUUCGAUCCCCGGUACCAAAAAAAAAAAAAAGAGAGAGAGAGACAUAC
Long non-coding RNA from Heterocephalus glaber (naked mole-rat), 1188 nucleotides. RefSeq lists it as uncharacterized. The record is from RefSeq and is a predicted model, not a curated record. Lineage: Eukaryota; Metazoa; Chordata; Mammalia; Rodentia; Bathyergidae.